UACGGAGGUGGCAAGCGUUGUUCGGAAUUACUGGGCGUAAAGGGCGCGUAGGCGGCAUGGCAAGUCAGAUGUGAAAGCCCCGGGCUUAACCUGGGAAUUGCAUCUGAAACUGUUGUGCUUGAGUUCUGGAGGGGGUAGUGGAAUUCCCAGUGUAGCGGUGAAAUGCGUAGAUAUUGGGAGGAACACCAGUGGCGAAGGCGGCUUUCUGGUCUAACCCUGACGCUGAGGAGCGAAAGCUAGGUGAGCAAACGGGGAUUAGAUACCCCCCGUAGU
Molecule: ribosomal RNA, 273 nt
Filed under: uncultured prokaryote
Description: partial 16S ribosomal RNA
Rfam family: Bacterial small subunit ribosomal RNA
Source: RNAcentral